AUUGAACGCUGGCGGCAGGCUUAACACAUGCAAGUCGAGCGGGGGAAGGUAGCUUGCUACUGGACCUAGCGGCGGACGGGUGAGUAAUGCUUAGGAAUCUGCCUAUUAGUGGGGGACAACAUCUCGAAAGGGAUGCUAAUACCGCAUACGUCCUACGGGAGAAAGCAGGGGAUCUUCGGACCUUGCGCUAAUAGAUGAGCCUAAGUCGGAUUAGCUAGUUGGUGGGGUAAAGGCCUACCAAGGCGAGGAUCUGUAGCGGGUCUGAGAGGAUGAUCCGCCACACUGGGACUGAGACACGGCCCAGACUCCUACGGGAGGCAGCAGUGGGGAAUAUUGGACAAUGGGGGGAACCCUGAUCCAGCCAUGCCGCGUGUGUGAAGAAGGCCUUAUGGUUGUAAAGCACUUUAAGCGAGGAGGAGACUACUUUAGUUAAUACCUAGGGAUAGUGGACGUUACUCGCAGAAUAAGCACCGGCUAACUCUGUGCCAGCCGCCGCCGUAA
RNAcentral lists this ribosomal RNA (501 nucleotides) under uncultured bacterium. RNAcentral's name for it is "partial 16S ribosomal RNA". It matches the Rfam family "Bacterial small subunit ribosomal RNA", at positions 30 to 523 of the family's 1533-position model. The record is from RNAcentral.